This 33626-nucleotide long non-coding RNA is filed under the name Physcomitrium patens. RNAcentral's name for it is "long non-coding RNA (PPAT_LNC001369)". The record is from RNAcentral. Lineage: Eukaryota; Viridiplantae; Streptophyta; Bryopsida; Funariales; Funariaceae.
UUGUGUUUGAUUCUCAAGGAUCGUUUGUAGCCUUUCAGCUCCGUUUUCACUGUGGCUGAGAAUAUAAUAGGGUUGACUGUAGUGAGCGUCAACCCAUCUUGGUGAGGAGCCAAUUGGGGUGUCCCUCAAGUUCUCGUCUUGAAAGUCAUUUAAGAGUUUACUUGCCGAGUUUUGUCCCGUUUAUUCUGAGUGCAACACAAUUGUGAUUGGCUUGUAGGAUUAGGUUCAUUUGAUGGGUAGAGUCUAUAUGGCUGUCCAUCAGAUUAUAUUAGUGAGUUAAAAUUUUGCUCGCAGCCCUUUAUUAAUGAAAAUCAUUCAUCGUGACCCAUAAUCAUUUUCUCAGAACUGGUUUCUCAAACGAAAAGCAGCCCCUAUCUACAUAAGCGCAGGAUAUAUGCCGUGUACACUUGUGAUACCUAGAAGAGUAGCAUCCUUAAUUGAUUGCGUCAAAAGGAUGCUAUCCUUGCCUGUAAGUGGCCAGACUUGGCAAGUUGCACGGAGCAUGUCCUGCGGGCACCAUACUGAUUAUUGGUUCCGAAUUGGCUAUUAAUUAACUUCUAAUUUAUACAUACCACCCACCAGUAUAACCUCAAUGGCGUUGCCCAUCGUUCUGUUCACCCAGUUCCGAAUCUUGAAACUUGCACGACAAGAGUGAUGCCAGCAUCCAGAGUCACUGGCCAAUUGGGCGUGGCGAACAAGCGACGUGGAGCCACGACGUCUUUUUGAAUAUAAAAAUAGAACUUGAGUAAGAGCAGACAAAGGGAAACCAGUGGGAUUAGCGAUGGAAUAUUGUUCAGGGGCAUGUAAGUUAAAUGGACAGAAGAAUAGGAAGAUACUUGUGAUGUGAUGCACAGAGAGGGGCAGGGCGCCAUAGGAUGGUAUAUCUGAAUCCGGAUCUGUUGGCCGGGUGACGAGAGCAUAAGGCGGGUCUGAUGCGGCGGGCCCCGCUAGCUGUCUAGGCAUCAGGUGCUUCAUUGCUUUAGAAUUCUGCUUUAGCAUGGAGGUACUAUUGCAGCGUGGCUCCUGUUCAGCAACUCUUGUUCGCAGCGUCGACUUCGACUUCCAGGUCUGUCUGUCCGUGUCGCCUUCACUGUGGGAAUCACCCGUUGCCCCUCUUGCGGUCGAUUUCCUCCCUUUCCUGCUUCUCUUUCUCAGAAUUUGGUACGGAGGGAGGGAGAGAGGGCGGGAUCGAGACACCAUGGUGCAGACGUUAAUUGAUGGGGCCCUAGGGCUUGUUACCACUUUGGAGUUUUACAUGCCGGCUGCAUGUGAGGGGUCGAGCCCUCGUUGGUCUGGUGUGCAAUCCGUGAGGGUUGUGGCAGCCGUGUCGAGUGGGGCACCAGUACAAGAUGCUACGGCUGCUCCGCCGGUUCGGCGGAACUGCUAUCAGCUGGCACCGAGCACGCUGACGCUGAAGGCGAGGAAGUCGCGGAAGCGGGGGGGUGGAGGCCGGAGCAAUGGCGAAGGCGGCGAUGGACACGAUGGCGGAAAUGGGAACUACGGUGGAGAUGGAAGCUGGGGCGGGAGUGGCAAUGGCAAGGGAGGUUGGGAUUCUUGGGGGGAGAGUUGGGACGAUGACAUUCGGCCUUGGAAACAGGGUACGAGCGCGUUGGCUCUACUUUACCAGGCAGCAUGUUGGCUUUCAUUGUCAAACUGCUUGCACUAUGUGUUGACACUAGCAUUUCGUUGUCCAAACAUGUACUCCAUGUGGUUGUCGGUACUAGGUGUGUACAUAACUAUUUCUUUGUCCAAGUGCGUACACAAUGUUCUUUCAUUAUUACCCUAGGAUCGGGUUCGGAUCUGCUGCGUUGUGUCAGGGAGACGAGGUUCUGGUUGACAAGGUCGUGUAUUGUGGGAGCAGUGGUGCUCUCAUGUUGGUAUAAUGAAACUGGUUGAUUAGGUUCGUAGAUGUGGAUUCUCAUGGUUCGUGGCUUACAGAUCCUGGAAAGAGGGAUCUUUUGUUCACACCGACGAGACUUCCGUCUAUCAAUUGUACAUAUUCUAUGCAGGCACAGUCAUGAGUUCACUUAUGACUGCCUUCGACAAUCCGAUCGAUAUUGCAUUCCAAUGGAUAGAAUGAGAGGAUUCCCCGAUUCGUUGACAUCUAUUAUCGGCCUUGGCCGAUUUCUGUGGGUUACUAGUCGGCUGACUGUGCGUCUGAGUUUUGGAGGAGCGAAGCAAUCAACAUCGUUUCGGCACCGCUUUGACGGAGAUUUGCGCCUUCCGAAAUUACAUAGCGCUUCGGGAGACUAUUAAUCCUUAAACGGCUACUGUUUUCGCUGAUACUUUUUUGCUUUAGGAUUUUUUUUUUACUGAGAACACUCUCAGUAUUUUAUGUGCAUACUUUGUGCAUUAAUUAGGGUGGAUUGUUCGAUUGAUUAGGUUGUGAUCAACGACUGAAAAGUUAGGUUGUGAUCAACGACUGAAAAGUACUGUCUUUUUAGACCAUGUAAUUAUGAAAGUUGUACUGAGGCAGUUAAAUGUCAUAUGUAAUAUUUUCAUCGUCUCUGUAUAUUUGCAUAUCAUUGUUUUCGUCACACUUUCCAAGCAUUGAAAUUCAGUAUUUUUUUAAUGAGAAGGUGUUUUAAGUUUUGUACAAUUCCAGCAUAGGAACUCCUGAAAACCAGGUUAGUGCAUCGUUAUGUUCCUAUAUACAGAUUCACACAUCUGACCUGCACAUUUGUGGCGAGGUAACGCUUUGCCGCAGAGGUCACAGAACGUUUAGAGGGCACCGUUCAUUUACAUGUGUCUACGAAUUAGUCUUUUAAUUUGAGGGAAUCAAUUGCUCUUGUACCUUUUUAACUUCAUAGUGCUAAUUGUUUUUGUACAUGGAGAAUUUUUUUGUCUCAAUGUAUGUCCCUGACUGUUGUAGAAUCCAAUCCAGAGUUUUGAUUUAUCCUCAGGUCUGAUUUUGAACGUAUCUCACGAAGAGGUCUGUUUUUUGCUUACAUUUUCACGUCAGCAGUUUCGAUGCUGAUACAGUAGUCUAUUUUCAUUUUCAGCUGAGCUUGGUUGAUCAUGAAGCAGCAACUAAAUACCCUAGAGCUAAUGUUGGCCAUUCGUGGUGUCCUGUGUGUGUGAUUGAUGGUAAAGAAUGUCGUAAUUUAGGGUAAGAAGUGUGGUAAGCACUUGAUAACUCACCUAAUUUUAGAACCUCUCCAGUAUGGCUUUUGUACAUAUUAGUCUUGUGCAGUUACUCGACUCUGAAGAAGAAGGUUUAGUGUGAAUCAUGGAUAUACUGGUAUGGGAAUAUACGUAGUUUGAGAGUGUUCAUCUUACAAUUAUUCCAUGUUUGAAAGGAUUGUUCUUGAUUUUAAUAUAUAAAUCUCUUAAUUUCUGCUUUGCUUGGUAGGGUUCCUCGAUUUUGAUAGCAGCUGUCAGGUAUUGUUGGUGUAAUCAAUAUCUUCUGGUACUAUAGGGUAUGUACGUCUACAGCGCCACAUGAAAGUGAUGAGUAGUUAAUUGAGAUACUUUAGAAGAUUUAUUUUUUUCCAAGAUCUUACUCCAAAAUCAAAAUUUACGAAUUAUGGUUAGGAAGAAUGUUCAUAGAUGUGUUAAAAAUUUAUUAUGAAAUCUUGCAGCGUCUGGUUUUUUGUCUUCUCUUUAAACUUAGCAAAUUGAGUUUCUGUUUUUGCACUACUCAUUGAGUCGUGAAGGGCUAUUGACGAGAUGAUCAAAACAUUCUCUUGCAUCCCUGAGAAAAUUGUAACCACAUUGUACGGCAUUUUGGAUUGGUGCAGUAAUGGGAGAAAGUGAUUUGACCCAAAAUAAGUUAACUUUCCUCAAGCUGAAAUUACAUUUAGAGUGGAGGUCAAUGUAGUGCUAUAGAGGUAUGAGCUAAUCAUAUGAAUGUGUCUACAUAUUACACAGUAUUUUAGUAAUUUAUUUUGAUGUUUUAUUUGGUGAUAAUGUUAGUAGCUUAGACAAAAAUAUAUAAGCUUCAAAAAAUUAUAAAAUAUAGAUGUUCAAUGAUAAUUAUCAUGGAUAUAAAGUUGCACAAAUUAUUAUACUUUUUAGGUUGUAAAAAUCUUUGAUAUUAAAAAAAACUUAUGUUUUAAAAUCUUUAUUGAAAAUAUAAAAAGUGAGGAAUUUAUUAGCAUUUAAAAGUGUAUGUGAAUGACCAUAAAUAUCUCAUGUGUCUGAUUUAGAAUCACAUAAUAGAAAUUUAACCCAAAAGAAGUUUUAGUGCUAAUUAAGAUAAACAAAUAAAAUAAAGUAAAAUAAAAGCUUUAUUUAGAAUUAUAAAAAAUAUAUAUAUCAAAUCUGAUAUAGAAUAUUAUUACAAAAAAUCACUUUUAUUUAUAUAAUCCAAGAAAUUUGGUUGUAUCUUAAAUGAAAUCAAGGUUCUUUGUAAUGCAAUUCUAAACCUUCAAAGUUACAAGAUAGAAUGACUAUAUUCCAUUGUGAAGGUAAAAUUCACUCUUCAGCCUAAAAUUAAAAAUGGCAUCAAUUAAGAUUUGCUUAUAAUUGGUGGUGUAAAGCAAAUGAUACAAUUAAUAAAAAAAAUGAAGAACAAGCACAUAACAAAUUAAGGAUAUGCAAUCAAGUAUUUACACCUUCUAAAAACUAGUCAUAGUUUGUUCAUAGGGUUUUUAUCUAAUAAAAAUAUGUAUAUAUAUAUAUAUAUAUAUAUAUAUAUAUUUCUAAAUAAAUAUUUUAUUAUCUUUCUAAUGGCAUAAAAAAUAUAUAAAUCCAAAUUAAUAUGAAUAACUUAUGAAGGUUUAUGAAAGAAAUAAAAAAAUAGAAAAAUUAAGUGAACUUGUAAUAUCUCAAAGAUAACUUGUUUAAGCAAUUAAAAGCUCUAGCAUCACUAAGGUUUACAAGUAUUAUAUAUAGAUGUCUUUGAGUGGCCACGAGGCUUUAGUCUUAUCCUCUUACCUACAUCUAAGGUGCUACAACCCACAUGGGACAUGUGCCACCUCUAUUCUUACAAUUCCUAUACUAGUUAUUGGACUUCCUAUUUUGUACUAGUAAAACCAAUUCUUUUAUAUUUUUGACUUCACCAUUGUAUUCAAAAACGCCCAAUUAGUAUUGUGACCCUAAAAAGGCCUUCAAAUCUUGCUCAAAUUUUUAAUAAUGACCCCCCAAAGUAAAAAUAUUUUUAUAAAUAUUUUAGAAAAGAUACUCAAAUUUUUUAAAUAAUUUUAUAUAUGAAUUCCAAAAAUAUUCAUAAUUUUUUUAAUACUAUUAUUAAUUUUAUUAUUCAUAAUUUUUUUAAUACUAUUAUUAAUAAAAGAUCCUCAAAAAUAUUAUUUUAUUAAAAUAGUAUUAAAAAAAAUUAAUAAAAGAUCCUCAAAAAUAUUCAUAAUUUUUUUUAAUACUAUUAUUUUUUAUAUCUUAUUGAUCUAUUGAUAAUAAUAGAAUAAAUUUAAAUUAAUUAAAAAAAUUAUUUUUAAUAUUAAUAACUAAAAAAAUAUUUGAUUCUUUUUCAUGCUUAUUCUAUCUAUUAACUAAUAUUUAUAAGUUUUUAAUAAAUAUUACAUGUAGAUAAAAGACAAGUUUACAUAUUGGCCUCAAUAACUACAUUCUAAUUCAUACAACUAAAAAAUAAGAUUAAACGAACUAAAAUAAUUAUCUCCAAGACCUACUAAGACUUCAUUUUUUAUGAUUUUUUGAUUAAUAAGACUCUUAUAGCUCAUAAAUAUUUCUAAAUUCUAAUAAAUAAUCAAAUAACUAAAUAGUCUUAUUAAACUUAAUAUUUUAUUUCUAAAAAAACUUGAAAUCUUAAACAUAAUAAUUUUAUUAAUUAAGAUACAUUGAUAAGACUUACAUCUAUUUAUAAACUUAAUAAUUUUUUAUUGCUCAUAAAAGAUCCUUAAAAAAUCACCUCUCUAACAUUUUAUUAGUCAAAUUUGGAAUAAUUUAAAAUCAUUAGGUUAAUAUAAAAAGAUAUUUUAUGGUUUUAAAGUUUAUUUUUUAUAUAAUAUUAUAAUUAAUUCAAUAUUUUUAAAUAUCUUGUAUUUUAAUUUAUUAUUGAAUUAAAAUUAAAAUAUAUAUCUAAGAGAAUGUUAAAUAGACGUAAGCUUUUACUAAAACUUUUCCAUCCAUCCUAACCAUCAUAAAAAUAAAAAUGACCUCUACAUUCAUUUUUUACUAUUAGAUAUAGAACUAAUGAAAAUCAACCAUAUUCAACAUGAUUAUUAUACUCUUUAUUAUGAUUACCAUCGUGACUAGAAGGGUCUAUUUAAUAUAUAUAUAUAUAUAUAUAUAUAUAUACAUACACAAAUUUCUAAUAAAUUACAAGAUUUUUAUUUUUUUAUUUUUAAGAUCUAUCAAUUUUUUUAAUAUAUUUAGAAUUAUUUGUUAUAAAUUUUUUCAUUAUUCAUUAUCAUGUUAUAAUUUUAUAAUUUUAAAAAAUAAAUUAAAAUUUUAGUAAUAAUAUAAGUAAAAUGUAAUAGCUUAUUAUACACAUUAUUAUCAAAGAUAUAGAUUUCUAAAAAUAAUUUAAUUAAUAACUAGAUUAUAUAAUUUAAUAUCUUAUAUCUGAUUUUAAAGAUAUAUUUGAAUCUUUUGUUAAAAAUCUCUAUAUGUACGUUAUUGAUUAAAUUUUUAUAUAUUUAUAAUUUUUUAUUUUAAUAUAAAGAUUAUUUUUAAAAUAUUUUUGAAUUAGAUUGGUUGAAAAAAUUCAAUAUUUGAUUAUCAAACGUUAUUAAAAAGAAAAAAAAUCAUACCUUAACCAUCUAAUAAAAUAAUCAAAAUUAUAUUUUAAUUAUCUAUUCAUAAGAACUACAUGCGAUAUAUUUAACAAAAAAUUCAGAAAAUGAUCAGUUAAGAAGAAAAUUGUAAAAUAUUCAUGAAAUAGAAUAAUACAAAAUGAUAUUAAUUUUUUUUAUUAAAAUAUAAUUUAAGAAUAAAAUUUUACUGUGAGAUUUUGCAAAAUAUUUGAUUUAUACAAAAUAAUUUUACUUGUGCAGUAUUCAGGAAUAUAUAUAUAUAUAUACAUAUGUGUAUUUUAUAAUCCUUUAAAAUUUGUAAAUACAGCUCAAAUCUGUUUGUAGUAGACAUUGAUGUAUUUAGUUUCCUAUGCUUUUAUAUUGUAAAACGUAAAGUCAAGUUGGUAAUUUUAUGAAAGUACAUCAUAACAGAUCGAAAAUACCUUUAUUUUUACUUCAAAUAAUUUUAUAAAUGGAAAAUUUUAUAUAUUGUUAAUGACAUAUUCUAUAAUCUUCAAUAUAAUUGAAAUAUUUAUCAAUAAAGAAUUAAGUUAUAUUUAUAUUUAUUUAUUUCUAUAUUAGAUUUUUUAAUUUUUUAUCGUAAAUCUAAUAUUUUUACACCUAAAAUUUUAAAUAAAGUAUUUAUUCAAUUCAAUAAUAAAAAAUAGAUAAAAUAUUAAAAUAAAUAUAUUUAUUUUACUAUAGCUAUAAUACUGAAUGUAAUAAAACAGCAUAACAACAAAACUAAGAAAGGUUUUUCACAUACAUAAAGAAUAAUAAUAAUAAUAAUAAUAAUAAUACUAAGUUUAAAAUUAAACUUUUUUUUUUUUUUUUUUUUUUUUUUUUUUUAAAUCUAUCUAUCUAUCUAUCUAUCUAUCUAUCUAUAUGUAUAAAUUGCUAAAAUAAAUUAUAGAUAAUAUUUUCCUAUUAUAUUUAUUAGUUGGUUUUUUUAAUUCAAGUGAUCUUUUGUUAAAUGGCAUAAUAUCAGUUUUUUUUUAUUAUUUUUUUUGUGGAAAUAUAAAUAUUAGAAUUCCUAGUAUUAAAAAUUAAUCUACAUAAUUUUAAUGGUGCAUAAUUUUAAAUCAAAAAGAACUUUAAUAUAAUUAAAAAUAAGAUGAUUAAUAAUAAAAGCCCCAAAUCUAAUGAAAAAAUUGCACAGGUAGAUUUUAUAAGAAUUAUUUUAAUGAAAUUUCUAAAAUUUUAAAGAUAGAAUUUUGAUACAUAUUUUUCAAAUUAUAUAAAUAUAUUUUUCAAAUCAUAUCUUUGAAUAUCAUUAAAUAAAAGAUUUGUACUUCAAUACAACUUCGAUUUUUUUGGAUAAAGAUGGUUUUUCCAUUUUUUAAAUUAUAAUAUUUACUUAUUAGUCAUAUAGAUUCUACCAAAUUAUUUCUAAGAUUAUUGUUAAGAUAAAUUGUAAUUCUUUUAGAACAUAAACAGCCUCUUAUGCUUUAGAGAAUAGAAAAAAAUCAAUGUAAAAAUAAGAAAAUAUUAAAUUCACACACCUUUGCUAUUACUAUCAUGUACCAUAUACCAUGUCAUAUAAAAGCAAACAUAAGUUGAUUUAAGAUUUACUUGGAUUGAUUUUUGAUCCUCUCAAAGAUAAUUCUUAAUUGCUCAAUCAACACAAUAUUUAGAUUUAUUUUUAAAAAUAAAAUUAUAUUAAAAAGUUUUUUUUUACAUAAAUAAUAGAUAUCUUUGUUUAACAAUAUAAUUAAAUUAAAAAACUAAAAAAAUAAUAAUUCUUUAUUUUUUGAUAAAUAAAAUAUUAAUAAGAAGAAUUAAAAUGGAUUGAUAAUAUUUUUUAUUUUUUAAUUAAAUUACCUUGAAUUUUUUGUAGAAUAUUAUUAGUUUUUAUCAAGAAAUCUUAUAGAUUAGCAAAUUUCUAUGGUAGUAUAAAAAAUUCUUUGAUAAUUGCAAUAAUUGUAGAAAAAAUAGUAUUUUGGAGAAACUAAAAACUUACAAUAGUUUAAUUGCUGAAUGACAAAUUGUCACAAACAUAUGUAUUUACUUCAAUAAUUAUCUAUAUGAUUAAGUAGAAGUAGGUAAAAAUAAAUUAAUUCCAUAAUAUAUUUUAGAGAAGCUUUCUAAAAGCUUCGUAGAUGAUGCUUUGAUUUUAUACGUGUUUGUAGUUAAUUAAUAGGUUAGAAACUUGGUCAAUAAGUUAAUCACAUAUCACAUGUGUUGAUAGCUUAUAGAACAAGCUAACUAUAUGGUGUACAUAUAGAAAACUUACCUUACUAGUUAAGAUAUAUGUCUUGUAAAAUCAACAUGUGUGAGAGGUCCUAUAGAACAUUAAUACAUAGCUCCUAGUUAGAUAAUAUAUAUGGAGGCAAGAGUGAAGCAUUCUUCAUUCUUGUCUAUGCCUUUCUAGUUUUUAGUCUUGUUUCAAGACUUUCUAGUCUUCUUAUCUUUGGUAAUAGCCAUUCUAGUUUAAUAUAUUACUAUUUUUUAAUGAUUUUUUAAUCUUUUUGAGUAAUAUAAGAGUGUAUUGAAUUUUUAUUUUUUGACAUUCUUGUCUUUGACAAAAUUAAAUAUGGCUAUAGCUUGUGUAAUUUUAUUGUUUUAAAAUAACUCAAAAAAAAUAUGUCAUCAUCCAAUUUAUCAAAAUUAAUUGAUAUUUUUUAUUUAGAGUUUUAGAUAUUAAGUUUUUGUUGUUGUUGUUGUUGUUGUUUUUUUUUUUUAAUCAUUUUUUUAUAUAUUUAUCUUCUUGCAUUAAAUUCAAUAUCUUAUCAUUUUUUUUAUUCUGUAUAUCAAUUUUGAAAUCUUUAAAAAUCUAAGAUUUAAAUUUUAACUAAAAAUAAUCUUAAAAUUGAUUAAGAUUGUGAAUUUAUAUAAAUUUCUUGUGAUGAUGUAGAAUUUGAAGUUAAAAUUAAGAUUUAUUGGAUUUUAAAUUUAAUGAUUUAUAUUUAGGAUUCAUUUAAUUUUGAAAAAAUUAUAGUAAGAUUAUUAGUGCAAUUUUACACUAUGGCCUUUUGGUCAUGUGGACCUUAGACAACUCCACUUAAAAUGGGACAAAAGACCAAUAUAAAAUUCUAUUAAAACAUAAUAAAUAUGACCUUUGGCUUGUUUGCUUGAUUAUAAAUUGAGUUUCCAUUCAUGCCCAAGCUAAUUUCUUAUCAAGCAAACAACUCCUUGGUGCCAAAAUUGUCACAAAGUGUUGCCAUAUCAAAACUUUUGACCAAAAUGUCUAUUGGCCAUUUGCCUCUAGUAUGAAGGCCAAAUGGUCAUUUUUUUUGUCUAUUACUAAACAAUUAAAUAUAGUGUGAAGUAGCCUUUAGAAGUUGGAUAAUAUUAAGGUCAAUAAGAUUGCAGAGCAUUUACAAAUACUUGUGUAAUCGUAUAUAAAGCAAAAUAUGUUAUGAAGGGAGAGUGAAAAUGGUGCGAAUUAAAGAUCCUUGAUGAGAGCAGGUGAUCCAAUAUUUUAAGGAACGACCUGCAGUGAGUCCCAAAGCAACAAUUGGAAGUGUGCAGGAUUAGCGCAUGCAUGAGAGAGAGGACAUGAUGAUGAGAGACAACAUGGAUUGGGCGGAGGAGGAGCCAUACUUGUCCAUGCUGCUGAUUGUACGAGUUCUUGCUGCAACACGUAGUCGGAGUGAGUAUCUGGUGAACGAGAUGCCAUGCUUGCAACGCCCUUCGUUGAUCACUUCGUGUUGUGCUGCUCCUACUUUUAGAUCCACUUUGCCAGCGAGGAUGUGCUGGAAGAGAAUUUGAAGGCGAUAUUGCACCGGAUAUAUGGGGAGUUCAUGGUGCACAGGCCAUGCGUUCACAUGAGGAUACACAAUAAGUUUAUAUUUUUAAUUCAGAUGUUUAUAUUUGAGACGGAGAAGCUCAACGGAACCGGAAGAAUCUGCAGAGAAGCUGCAAACAGUGGAGCACAGUGGAGUAGCAUAGGGAGGGAUCUCUCGUAGUUGCCCAUGCCACUUUUCUAUCGUCAUGGAGACCGUGGAGCACGACGGGAAGCGCAACGCAAAUAGAGUGGACCGAGCUCCAUGGCCCACAAGCUGGUUUGGUGACGUCAAACUCGGUGGGUAGGAGCCAUCAGACUUCUCUUUUAGUGACUUAUGCUUUGACGACACCCUUUCCGUGCGCAUGACCAAGGCUAGUUUUGACCAGGAGUACAACAUUCGCCCUUUCACCGUCUUUCGGUGAAGGCCAAGGUGGGAUGUUCCACCCAAGAUGUCCCAUGUGCCGUAGACUUGCAGCAAUCAAUCUGAACGUUUGGCAGCAUUGCAGAGCUGGAUCGUCAGCAUCGAAUGUCACGGUUAUGAAGUAACUCAAUCAACCACCCAAGGGGUUUGUUGCUCUUCGAGCAUGUACAAUUCUGGCUUCCCUCACCUGGAGGGACCUGAGAAUAUUCUGCUGCUGCUCAUUUGUCUUCCAUUCUUGCCAUCAAAUGCUUGAUAAUGAGGCUCAUGUGCAGCAGAUCCACAAGCUGCCGAUGCUGAUAUGGAUGCUGCAAGGAGUACAAAAACAUUAGGCUUCCAGGCACUUCUGCUGCAAGGGGCAUGAAGUGUGCACUUGGUUGUUCAAGUCCGCUGCAAAAUUGCUUUGUCAGAUUUGGAUUUGACAUUAGAAAUCUAGUUCCUGGGAAGUCGAUUUAGGUUUAGAACGAAAAUAAACCGGUGCAAAAUUUUGUAUAUUUGGAAAGUUUUAAAACCAUGGUGAAAAUAAGUAACACUUUCCAAAUAUACAAAAUUUCUCAAUGUGUUAUAUGGAUCUAAACUAGUGUAGAUAUUGGAUUUAUUUUACUUUUUGUGCCUCAAGUAUCAGACUGUUAUUUAGGUACUGAUUAUUUGAAAUUAUUUGAAAUCAAACAAUGUGGUUUGUAUUGAUUCAUAGGAGCUCUCUUGCUUUGAAUAAUGGCCUUUCAAUGUGAAAUAUUAUUUUUUGAAUUUAAGUGAAAGUAUUUGUUUGUUAUCAAAUGUUAGAUAGAAUAGGAUACUAAAUUAUUUAGAAUUUAAUCAAUAUUUAGCUCUAUUUUUUCAUUAAAAAUUUUAGAAACUUUUAAAUAAUUUGAUUUCUUUUUCCUUUUUUCUUUUUACUAUGCUAUUGUAAACAAAGAAGGCACUUAAGGUUUUAUGCAGGAUAAAAACAAAGUUUUUUCUCAAAUUGAAAUUUGUAUGAAUGAUUCUUUUAAUUAAAAAAAGUUUUAUUAAGAAUAAAAAAAUAUUCUAACACAAGCUUUUGGAUUCUUUUAGAAUUAAAAAUAAUGCAUGAAAUUAAUAUAAUAUUUUAUUUAAUUUUAAGAUGUAAAAACAAAGAUAUCCAAAAAUAUAAAAUUUAGUUUUAAAAUCUAGAAGAACUUUAAAGAAAAAAUAAUUAUAUAAAAAAUUAUAUAUAUUUUAACAUAAAAAAUGUAGAUUUAAAAAUAAAUAAAAUAUCUAUUACAAAGAAAUCUUAAUUACAAUAUAAUUACUUUAAGAAUAAUCUCUUAAUAUGAGCUAAAUCUAUUAUAUUUUGACAUAAAUAGAUUUUGAUAAAAAUGGUUGAUUAUAAAUAAUUGAUUUUUUUAAGAGAUCUUAUAAUUGUCACAUAAUUGUUUUUAUAGACCAAUACUAUUAUAUUGAAGACUUAAUACAUGUAGCAAUAGACAACAUUUUUUUUACAUUAUUGUAAUUCAUUCUAUUCCUACUAUAAUAUAUAUAUAUAUAUAUAUAUAUAUAUAUAUAUAUAUAUUACAGAUCUUGAUCUUGCCCUUAUAAAAAUUAUAUCAAAGAUUUAACAUCAAAUUCUCUUGUUGUAUUUAUUAAAUGUGUUUUGAUUCUUCAAACAUAAUAAUUGAAUAAUAAUUUUAUUUUAACUAAAAUAACUACUACUUAUUAAAUAUUUUUGUGGUGAGGUUCAUAGGAAAGAACUACCAUAUAAAAACAAUUUGAUAUAAUUUUAAAAAAAAAAAAAAACUAAAUGUAACAAUAAUUUAAAAAAAUAUAUAUGUUAUAAUAAUAUAGAUUAUGUAUUGGAACAAUGUAUUUGAUGUCAAAAUCUCUAACUUUGAUGACAUCAUCAUCACAAGUAGUAGAAUAUUAUUAUUGCAAGAUAAACAACUACUACCAUCUCACAAAAAAUUAAAAUAUUUGUAAUGGUAUUUUCUUUUUAUUUCUAUAAAAAAUAAAAAAUAAAAUGUUUUAAGCAAAAUUAGAAAUUAUACAGGCAUACCUCAAUGUUGCAAAGAGUUUCUAAAUGGCCAAAAGUUUCUUAAUUGAGUGGUAGGUUUAGAAUGAAAAUUGCAUGCAAAUAUUAUAAAAGCUGGUCUAAAUAUUUUAAUUUAGUGACAAUAUUAAAUGAUCAGAAAUUUAAGACGAUUCUUUAAAAUUACAUGUACAUUUAUGUUCAAUGUAUCUUGAUGAUGAAAAAUAUUUUUUAUUUUUAUUUUUAUUAAUCCACGUAUAAUUUUUAGUCAUAAUUAUGAAACCAAUACAUUUUAAAACCUCCUUAUAACAUGCACCAAUGUUCGUAAAUAUAAUUGAUUUCUCAACUUCUUUAUUAUGAAUAGUAAGAUUUUCAAUAGAAUAAUUUUUCAAUCUUUUUAUACUAUAUUAUGAUUCUUUUAUAUAUAUAUAUAUAUAUAUAUAUAUAUAUAUAUUAAAAAACCAUUAUUAUUCUUAUAUGUUUGAUAAUUUUUUCAAGUAUAUUAUAUUAUACAAUAAUAUUUAUAAAUAUAACAAACUAUUUAGCUUACUUAUAAUAUAUAAUAUUUUUUAUAAAUUCAAUAAAAUUUCUAAUCCACAUUCAAGUUAUAUAUAUAUAUAUAUAUAUAUAUAUAUAUUUUGUUAAAUAAUUUUAUUAAUGACACAUUAAAUAUUACAUGUAUCUUAUGUAAUGAAUUCAAUUUAUAUAUUUGAAAAUAAUAUUUUCAUAAGAAUUAAAGAAUAUAAGAAAUAAAAUUUUUAUCAUUUAAAAUAGACAAUAAUUUAUCAAAAUUAUUUAAUAAGUAUUUUAAUUUCAUAACCUAUUAAAUUAAAUAUUAAAAUUUAAAAAAUAUAAUUUAUCAAAGAAGUUCAAAAAAGUUUUUAAUUUUAUAGUGUGAUAUAUUAAGCAUUAGAGACAAACAAGUUAAAUAAUUUUAAUAUGUUUUUCACUUACACAAAUGUAAUAUAUUAUGUAUUAAAGAUAAGAAGUUAAGCACAUAACAUAUGCCACAACUUAUUUUCAAUUCAACAAGCUUCUCAGUCUCACAAUGUGAUAUAUUAAAUAAUAGAAAUAAAAAGUUUAAUAUUUAAUAAAUUUUAUAAAUUAUUGAAUAAAGUCAAGCAACUUGUUAAUCUCAAAGUGUGAUAGACCAAGUAAUAAAAAUUAGAAGAUUAACAACUAACACAUGCUAUAACUUAUCAAACAACUUUUUUAAUCUUAUGAUGUAAAAAAUCAGAAAUAUAACAUUCAAUGCAUUCUAAAACUUAUCAAACAAAUUCAAGCAACUUUUCAAUAUCAGAAUAUCAAAUAAGAAGUAUAUACAGCAUACAAUGCAUACUACAACUUAUUAAACAACUUCAAGAAACAUUUCAGCAUCAAUGCUAGAUAAGAAGUUGCAUACUACAACUUAUCAAACAACUUCAAGAAACAUUUCAACAUCAAUACUAGAUAAGAAGUUGCUUCUACAACUUAUCAAACAACUUUAAGAAACAUUUCAGCAUCAAUGCUAGAUAAGAAGUGCAUGCAACCUACAAUGCAUACUACAACUUAUCAAACAACUUCAAGAAACAUUUCAACAUCACAGUAUCAGAUAAGAAGUGCAUAUAGCCUACAAUGUAUACUACAACUUAUCAAACAAGUUCAAGAAACAUUUCAGCCUCACAAUAUUAGAUAAGAAGUGCGUCCAACAUUCAAUAUCACAAUGUUAAACAAGCUUCUCAAUUUCACAAUGUGAUACGUCAAAUAUUAGAAAACAGACUCAAUCACAACAAAAGAACUCAGAUAUCAGAAGGGCAGAACUUAAAUCUUAUUGCAUGCUACAACUUAAUAGAUAGCUAUCAUGAUAAGCUUCUGGUUUGUAUAAGUAAGAAUCAAUCAGUGUUGUAAAAGUAAGGGUUUGACUUGUGUGUAAGUCGAAAGAAGCAAUCAGCAGAUCUAAUAGAGGCAACUGUCAAGGGAAUUAUACAUCAUCUUUCAUAUUAAAGAUUACUUACAGUAAAGUUCAGUACCAUGAACUUCAAACAGAUGUACUUGACGUUGACGUUCUGCAGAGUUGGAUAUACAUCAGAAGCGCAAACAAUCAGCAUGAGUUUGUUGACAGAUAGGAUGUCUGCAAGUGCAGGAACUUGAUACUAAUUUCGAGUUGGGAUGCAGACUUGCGACCUAUUCAGCAGGUAGGCGUUCCAAAAAUCAGAAACUCUCUGGAGAUUAUUAACUGGAGCUGCAUAAUUCACAAAGGCUAGCAACCGCUUGAUAUCUCUUGAGAGGCAGAUUCAGGAGAUACAGACCGAAUCCUAGUUACUUGGUGAUCCCAACAACUCAGAGGGGCCAAAGGUCGGAACUGCCGGAAGGAGUCCGAUGCUUGGGGAUUUGAGGAAUCGUGACAUCUGAUAUUGAUGGACUACAUUCCAACGCUGAGCGCACUGGCCAUUUCCUGGACUGCUGAUUGAUCGCAUAUGAUACAUGUUGCUGACGGAGCCACUGCAAUGUCGACACGACUCUGCAUCAGUCCAUGCCGUUGCUGCCCGUUACGAGAUAUUCCUGCCUUGUUCCUCGUGGUCCGCAGUGUGUGUCGCAUACGGCAGCUGACUAUCAGUCGAAGGAAUCAGUUGCAAGUGACCACAAAGUUCCCCAAAGGCUUCUCGGUGCUGGAUGCGACACGAAUACGCACCUUCUUUUCUUUUGUUUUCUUUUUCCUUAAGGUAAACAGAAUCUAUUCCAGCAGCAGUAUACUCGUACAACUACAGUCAUAAUGGCGAUUGUCAUUUAUCUCACUGGUGCAAUUUGCCUCGCAAUCUGUUUAGCUCCAUCAUUGCAACCCCCUAGACCCACUAGUGAUUCCGUUAUUAGUUGAUUGCGCCACUGCAGGGGUCACAUGUACAGGAUAUACAUGACUUGACGAGAGACAAACCAUCCAUGCAACAGGUCAUUUUUGGAAGCAACCAGAGUGAUGACAUUUUCAACGAAAUUGGGGUCCCAUGAUCGCCGGAAACGACUUGAUAAAGACAGCACUACAGUCUGGAGAUCAUGCACAUGUGGAUUCACGAGUCGCUCUUGAUUAAAGUGUGAUUCCGGCUACAAUGCUACACUCUCCGGCUACAAUUUGAUCUUCAUUUGUUUCUUUUGAUUUUUUUCCCCUAAGAGCCAAAGGCUGUCAUUGCAGACGGCAACCAGUACAAAGAAUGUCCAAAGAAGCGGUCACAGAGUUUUAAGGAUCCUAACAAAGGCAUUCUCCGCACUACUGAGAACCAUUUCAUGACAGUCACUUUGUGUUACAGUGUGGACUCAGCAAGACAGACUUUCUCUUUACUUCAAGCUGGCAGGUUGUACCACGUUACUGUCAUUGCAACUUCUCUCUGGAUGGAGAGGUAGGGCGCCCAUAAUUGUAAAAUUCUCGCUGUCUUGGCAUCAAUGAGUGGGUAGUCUUUCCCAGUGUGCACGAGUUAUUGUAGGAGAAAGAACAGUUUGCCACACUAUUCACCCAUCCUUGCUUUUGGAAUGUAGUCCAUCAAUAUCAUCCUUCCAGCAGAGCUAAUUCAAAUUCUUUGCAUCAAUCUCUCCAGGGUCAAGGCGACCAAAUCAUUUUCAUCCUGAAAUCUUUGCUUAUCUCAUGCCACACAGAACCUUAAAAAAAUUAUUCAACUAUUUGUUUGUGAUAUCUAACCAUAACUGCCCAGAUCUUAACUUGUAUUAAAGACGAGUUUUCAACCACACAUUGCAGACAUUAAAAAUUGUCUCCUACUUUUUAAUUGCUCACUGGUCUAUGUUAAUAGUAUGAUGGGUACAAAACUCAAAGAGAACUUCAAAAUUCAGAAUGAUUGAAAGAUCAGAAAUUUUUCAGAGGUAUGAACGAGCUUAAAAAAGUAAACUUGUCUCAUGAAUAGAAAAGUGAUGAUUAUCAGAACGAUAAUUCAGAAGCUGCCAACAUGUUUGUUGAUUUGCAAGAUCACGUUAUCCGGCUGAAAUUAUGUUCAUGAUAAGUAUAGUUUCAAAUUCUUUUAAACACUCAAUUUGAUAUAUAUAUAUAUAUAUAUAUAUAUAUAUAUAUAUGUGUGUGUGUGUGUAUGUAUCUAUGGGACAAUUCAUUCUUAAAAUCAAUGUAAUAAAUGAAUAAAUGAAUAAUUUAAUAAAUUGAUAACAAGAGCAAGUUUUGGUGGAAGGUUUUCUGUCAAUGAUUUAUGCAACUCCAAGCACUGCACCCAUAGAAUCCAUAGACUGAAUUAUAAAGAGGGUUUUUCGUAGUAUCUCCUAAUUAACGAUGUGUUCAACAUCCUAUCAUCUUAAUUAAAAUGAAUGAAUUUACAAUUGAUGUUGGAAUGAAUGUUGAAUGGAUGAAUGAAUAUAUUACAUUACUUUUUAUUCUUAUGAUCAACUUUUGUUAAGUGAUAUGACUUGGUAAUCGGUGAGAAUCGAAAUAAUUAUGUUCGACUGUAAAUAGUAAUAUGGUUUUAGUAGAAAGUUAUAUGGAAAUAUUUUACCGCAAAUUUGCUUAAAUAUGCUUCGUACACAUAAUGUCAACAUUUCUUUCUUUUCUCCCUCUUUUAUCUAUCUUUUUCUUUCUCUCUUUCUUCUUCGAUUUCUUUAUUUGUUUAUUAAUGCAAGUUUUCCUCAUCUCUUGGGGUUCCACCCAUGUGUAACCAAGAUCAUCCACACUGGUGCACCGCAUAUGGUCCAUGCACGGCAGGGAGAUGGAAACUAUGUGUCAGCAUGCUGUAAGGCUGGAAGAGGGGCCUCAACUUUAGCAACCUAGACGCCUUGGGGGCUGGAGCUACCCGACUUGAAGCUAUUCUCAGCGGAGGAGGGGGAGACGAUAAAGGGAGACGAGGAAAGAAGGAAGGAGAGAGCCAGAGCCAGUCUAACAUUCCUUUGUCCUGGAUUCAUCAACAGUGCUCCCUACAGGAAAGUAGUUGGAUCCUUUGACCCUUCAAAAGAUGUUUUCACUCUACCUUUUCCCUUUUGUUCUGCAGUGUAACAAUGCUGGGCUUUGAGUUCCAAAUUUUAUAAACAAUUGGAUGCUGUUUCACAUGUUUAUUCCAACAAUAAUCUUUUCAACAAAUUCUGGAUUUCUGUUCCCCUCUGUAUGAGUGUCUGUACAUGUGUGCAUACAUACUUUCCGUAUCUGUGUUUUUUAUAUAAGGAGAAGGAAUAAUAUUUUUAAGUGAAGAUAAAUUUCCUCACAUCAGCAACCUGAAAAAUGUGAUUUGUCACAACAAGGGUAGAUACACAUUCAAGUGUUUGCAAUAGGGACACUGUUUUUUUUAUAAAUAUUGGAAAUACAAAAUGUAUAACUUCGAACACAUUCAAUUAAUUGACAGCACCAUUGUACUAAUGUUACUUCAGAAAUUUAGUUUUGAUAAUUCAUUAUACAUAGCAAUAAAGAUUUUGAUGGAAGCUCUUGUAUUUCCUUGCAAGUAAGAGUUAUUAUAGAAAGGUUAGUGAGUGUUAAAUAAAUUAUCAUGUUUAUUGUUAUUAUUAUUAUUAUUAUUAUUUAUUUUUUUUCUUAAAUUAACCUGAUAAUUUUACAAGAAGAAGAAGAAGAUAAUUACUCAAGUGCAAAGAUUGAAUAUGGCUUACUUAUGUUGGUAGUUGGAUAAUUCAUGUCAAGGAAUUCUGAAAUAUUGUUUCACCUUUAAGUGUUAUAUGUACUUUUCUAAUAUGGCAAGUGAUUCAUAUGACGUCAUGUGUAAUAGGUGGUAAAAUAUUGUUGGUUACAGCUUCUAACUUACCAACAUUUUACCGAGUGUUGUAAUUUCCUUGUUGCUGAAUUAAUUUAUAACUAGUUUUUCAUUAAUAAAAUCAUUUUCCCGAAAUUUUCAUUCAAUGGAAAUGACGACCAAUUCACAGACUAUAUAUAUAUAUAUAUAUAUAUGAAUGAUUGCAUCUUAAAAUAUCUAGAAGACCCACAUAUAAAUAUAUAUAGGCUAGAAAUGGACACCUUAUACACAGAUAGCACCAUCAAAACCUGAGGGCCAAGUUGAUACUAAGGACAAGUCCAAAACAAGAGGGGUUUGUCUUUUGUGUGUUCCCUCGUUUGGGAUUUUCUCCCAUCUGAGGGAAAUGUUUCGGAAUGGAAAGAAAAUUUGGACGAGAGGUUUGGGAUGGGGACAAGAUGCACCCUUGACCCUACCUAGGCCCAGCUGGCAACUUUGCGCAGCGUAGCUUUACAAGGAAAUAUAGACAUUAUCCUUUCCAAGCGAUGAGGAGGCAUUCUUCUCAUUAAAGCAACAGAGAAAAGUGGAAGGGAAAGAGGAAAGGGGGAAGCGGAAGUGGUGAGCGAGGAGAGCCUGAGGAAGGCCAUUAGCAAUCAGUGGUGGCAGCCUUCAGCGAUGGUGGCGGAUGACGAGAUAUAGUCCUUUUUCCCUUCUUGGCCCUUCUUGACCAGCCUGCGCCGCUCCUCGUGUCAUCACUUCUCUUCUACUCUUGCUGCCUCUACUCUCGUCUCCACUCCCGUAUUCUACACUCAGCUUUUCUUUUUCCUUUCUUCCUUUUAUUUUUUUGUAUUCCUUUUCCUUCUGUCUUCGCUGCUACUUGUCUUUACUGUACUCUAAUCUGUAGAAUCCCAAGAUGUGUCUAUGGUACCGUCCUCUUGAUUGAGAGUUCUUCAAUCAUACUUCUCAGCCUGGGAUGAUAACUCCUCACCAUCCAUCAAUAGCAUUGUAGGAUUUUGGAUAAUUUGAAGAUAGUUUGUAGAUUGGCCUUGAAUCUUAUUGGCUCUAAUGGGUUUUCAGUUAUCUGAACAUAAAAUGGGUACACCAAAAAAUUGCAGACUAUGGUUUGAAUUCACUUUUGUUUAAUUUGUUUUUGGGAGCAUACAGAUCAGAAGUUUAUUACAAAAAAAAUACAAUACUAUAUGAAGGUGUCUGGUAAUUAUUUGGCCUACAUGCCAGGAAAUUGUCAGUCACUACCUAUGUUGUGUCAAAUUCACUCAGGAAGAUUCCAGUCAUGGAUUGAAAUUGCUGAUUGAGAAAGUUUGGCGUGGAAUGUAUGAGGGAACUUAGGGAACCCAAGCAUCGGCUGAGGAAAUCAACUUUUGAUUGUAUAGCAACUUUUGAGUCCCUUCCUUUUAUCAAACAGCCUCCAAGACAAUGCAAUUUCAUACCAUUACAAUGGUGGAAGACAAUCAAUUUGGUGGCAAGUUAGUACUACUUAGGGCCUUCUUCCAUGCAUGAUUGGUGGGGAAAAUUGAAGCCAGAGUCUAAAAUCCUUCCUCAAUUUUUGAUACAUCAUCACUUUUAGUAAUAGGGCUGGUGACUUGCCCUUAACCAAUUACACAAAGCAAAAAUGGUAGGUUGAAUACUCCACCAAUGCAUUGGUAGAAUUUUGACUUGCAAUAGUAAGUCAUUAGGUCUUUUUAUGGCUUUCUAUGAAAUGUCACUUGCCUAUUUAAGAAAAAAAAUUUAAACACUUUUUACUUCUUUUGAACAUUGGAAAGUGUGGUUGGAGGUGAAGAAGCUUGAUGUGGAUGUGGAGAAAUUUGGAGCUUGUAGAUUUGGAACUUGUGAAGGUUAAGCUAAAAAAAUAAGGUUAAUUUGGAUUUUUCUUUAUAUAUUUUAAUAUAAUUCACAUAUUUUAAGAUAUUUAUGUUUGUCACAUAGUGCUUGAGCUUAUAGUUAUUAAGUAAGAUUUUUUUAUUUUUUGUUUUUUAAAAUUGUUGUGAAUAAAAUUUUAAAAACUUUAUCUGUAUGUAAUGUUUGCAAAACUUAUCUAAUCUUUAAGUGUGAUAUCAUUUUGGAAAUGACACUUAAUAAUGAAGAGUGAAAUCAUAAUAAGGUUUUGUUUUAAUUGAAUAUGCAAAAGACAGUUGUGCAAGUCAUAGAAUCAAUUAGUAAAAGUUUAGGAAUGUGAUUUGGUUGGUCCAUUUAAGCAUGUCAAGAGAUGGAAAAAAAAGAAAAAAGAAAAAAAAAGAAAAAAAAAACAUGUGUAAGAUUGUAAUGAUUAACAUUCUUCAAAUGUUUAUUGCAAUUUUUUUUUUUUUUUUUUUUUUUUUUUGUAAAAAAUGGAUUUUCAAAGAUCUUUAAUUGAUCUCAUUUAGAAUUUUCAAUUAGUAAAUCUUGAAAUAUAAUCAUAAGAUGAGAUUGAAAUAGAAUAAGAGAAAGCUCAUAGUGGUAAAGUUGGUAGAGUUUACAAAAUUAAGAGAUUGUUAUUAGUAGAGACUUUAUUGUUGUGUUAUUAUAAGAAGGUGGAUUUUGUGAAAUAUAACCCAAUCAAAUUACAAUAUGUGCAAAUGACUAUGGGACCAAAGUAGUGGAAAGUCAUAGCAAAUGGUUUGUAGAGAAUGAAUAUGCAUAGAAUCUAAUAACAAAUUCAAGAUAAAUAGGAGUGAUUAUCACCAAACUUCAAGAAAUUACAUGACUAUGAAAAAAAAAUAUCAUUUAGUUAGUUGAGUUAUUUUUCUAUGAAUCCCUUGUACAGAAAAACCAUCAUGUAAGAUUUCUAAAGGCACCACAAGAUUAAACUAUCUACUUAGUAAUAUUGGAGUGGUUUCUUAAAACUUUGUAGUUGUCGAUACUUGAAGCUAUCUCCUUGACAAUAGAAUGACAGCACCUUUUAAUAAUAUAUUAUAAAACUUCUUAGUUGAUUUUUUGAAUAUUUUAUAUAGAGAUAUUUUUAUAUUUAUUUUAUAAAUAAAAUAUAAAUAUUUUUUGAUAUUUUUAUACUUAAUAAUGAUAUUUUAUGAAUUAUAGAUAAUAGUGAAUCAUUUAUUGAUUAUUCUACCAAAAAAUAUUGCUUAUCAAUGAAGGCUUCAAAUGAUACAUCAACUUCUAUGGAUAAGACUAGGCUUGAAUUUCUUAAAGCCAUUUAUAGCAGAUAUGAUCAUGAAAAUAUUUAUCACAAAGAAAUUAUAGACUUAGACAAAAAAAUAAAAAAUUGUAAUAAAAAGAAUUGUGCCAUCUUGAUAUGAUGAAACUUGAAUGUAAGACAAUAAAUAGUUUUAUUGCUAAGAAGCAAGGUUAUGUAAAUAUUCUUUUUAAUUUAAAUGAUGCCAUGAAAAGAAUUAAUAUAUUUUUUUUUGAAUAAGCAAUAUUUGGAGUCAUCAUCUAUGACUUACUCAUUUUAAGUAUGUUCUAUUAUAUCAAGAAAAUGACUACUAAGAAAUAAAUAAUAUUUUAUGUAUAAUUUUUUAAUUGGCUAUUUUUUAUUUUAUUUUUUUGAUAAUAUUAAUGAUUGAUUUUCUUAAAAUUUACAUUUAUUUUUAGUUUAAAAUUAAUUACUAUAUUUUUUUAUGAAGGUCAUGCAACUUAGAUAAUUCCAAUAGUAGACUUGAAAUUGCUCUUAUAGAGGUAGUAAGAUCACCAAUUGGAACUACGGUAUAAUUGACAACUCAUAAAAUAUUUGAAAAGAGUCAAACAAGCAAAAUACCAAGAGAAUCAACCUUGAUAAUUUUAAAAUAUAAAAUAAAAGCUGAUUUUUUAUUUUUUUAUAAUUUUUUAUCAUUCAUUUACUUAUGAAAUUUGAAUAAGUAUUUUAAGAAGUAUUUAUUUAUAUGGUUGACAAGAAUAAUAUAUUUAGAUCAAAGUGUGGUCUUUAUUAUAUCAAACCACAUACAAUUUAUAAGUAAAAAUAAUUUGUGAAAUAAGUGAUGUAAGAAGAUUUGGAAGAUUUUUGUCAAUUUUUUUGAUUAUUUGUUUUAACUAUUUUACAUGUUUGUGAUUUAGUAUAUAAAGAAUCUUCUACAUGGACUAAUUAAUAUUAUAGGGCGACUAAUAAGUAUGUCUAAUUUUUUUUUCAUUAUAUUGAGAAGACUUGAAACCAAAGACACUUAUAAUUCUAUAGAUAGAAUUUUUGGCAAUGAUGACUCAAUAAGUGUGAAAUUUUAUAAGUAAUUUAUUAUCACUUUAAUCGAAAUUAUUUUUCCUUUAUAUUUAAAAUGGCUAAAAAAAUAAGAUUUAUUUAAAGUAAAACUUAGGUUUGAAAAUAUCCAUGGUAUACUACAAUGUUGUGGUGUUUUUAAUUGUUUUCAUGUCCUAUUUGAUCUAUCUUAUAAGAUCCAAAUCAAUAGAUUGGUACAAUUAUAAUCAUAAUUAUUUUACAAUAAUUUAAGAAAUUGUAGAUCAUAAAGCUUAGUUUAUAGAUAUUUUUAUGGACAUCCUUGAAUUAAUAUAUGAUUCUUAUAUACUUCUAAUAUCAAAUCACUUCAAAGAUGUAAUUGUGGAAAAAUCAUUGAAUGGAAGAAGAAUAAAAAUUGAAGAUAUUGAUAUUAUUAAGUUGAUUAUAGUCAACGCAAGCUAUAUUGGUGAUAAAAACCUAGAAUGAAACUUUUUAGAUUAUAUGAUGAGUUUAACUUUAAGCACUUAUCUAUAUAUAUAUAUAUAUAUAUAUAUAUAUGAUAAUUGAGCAUUUAUUUAGAAUUUUGAAAGGAAUGUGGAAGAUUUUACAAAAUCCUAUAAAAAAUCUUGACUUGAAAAGAAUUCCAAGCUUGAUAUUGGCUUGUUGUUUGCUCUAUAAUAUUGUCAUAGAUAGAAAUGAUCUCAUUGAUAAGUCUAUUAUUUUUUGGAGAUACCACAACUUAAGAUAUAGAAAAAAAGUAGUGAAAAAUGUACCCAAAGUAAUUGUGAACAACCACAAAUUGUUAAGGAUAUAAAUCUCAAAGAAAGAAAAUCCUCAAUACACUCUUUUAUCACUGAAGAGAACUAGAAAGUCAUUCAAAAGAUGAUAUAAUAUUAACUAGAAAGGCUAUUGCCAAAAACAAGAAGAGUAGAAAGUCUUGAAACAAGACUAAGACUAGAAAGGCGUUGACAAGAGUGAAGAAGGCUUCACUCCUGCCUCUAUAUAUACUAUCUAACUAAGAGCUACGUGGUGAUGUCCUAUAGGACCUCCAACAUGUGUUGACUUUGCUAGCCACAUGUUUUAUCUUGUAAGAUAAGUUAUCUAUGUACACGCCACGUAGUUGGCUUGUUCUACAAGUUACUACAUGGAGAUAACUUGUUCCACAAGCUACUAAUACAUGGUUAGCUUUUUGGCCAAGUUUCUGACCUACAAACACAUCUAAAGUCAAAACCACGUCUAUGAAGCUUUUAAGAAGCUUUUCUAGAAGACUUUAUGAAAUUAUUCUAUAUUUAUCUACUUCUACUUAAUCAUAUAAGUAAUUAUUGAGGUAAAUAUAUAUGUCCAUGAUAUUAUCCUCUCUUCUAGGGACGAGUUCCAUGAGGAGCGGUCUUCGUAUGUUAAAGAAGUCCAAAAUGCGGCAAAUUAUAUUUGUUACAUACUCCAAUCUUUGCUCCCUUCGAAGAUGGUUGAUAGGUCCUCUCAACCAUGUAUAGUGUCCUAUACUAGGGCAAGAAGAUCACCCUGUUAUUUGGUCAUUGUUGAGGUGUUCAUAACUUCCUUCAAAUAAAAUAUUUAGAACACCGUUAGGAGUUGUUUUCACCUCUAAUAAAAUUACUAAACAUCGAAAGUCUCUUCCAAGGUUUUGAUACCAAAUACGUUGUAUCUCGCCAUCUAUUUGAAAAAAGACAUGUCGUUCUUGAGGAUCUUUAUCUUGAUUCCAUCGUCUUGAAGGUUGUAACAAUCACAAUGUCUCGUUUGGUAAGUCCGCAAAUGAAAGCUCUUAAGUUAAAUCUGCUGGUUGUUGAUGCUCCAUCUCAUCACAAAUACAUAGAAGCUAUACUGAAAGAUAGAAGGUAGAAUAUUAUUUUCCUUUGAUCUUGAUUUAUAGCAAAGGUUUGCUAUUCUUCAUGUUAGUUUUGAUGGAUGUCGUUGAUGAAAGACUUCAACUUUCUUUGCUACAUUUACAAGAUUCUUUGAUGGCUCCUAUGUGCAUUCACUAAUAUCAUAUUUGUGCCAAUGAACAAGAUAUUCGAACCUAUUUUGGUGCCACCUUGAGUCUAAGACUUCUUCUACCUCAAACUCUUGAUUAUUAUCCACUUCUAUAGGAGGGAGGUGGCAUUUGUCUUCUUUCCAAGAUAUUCAAUGUCUUAUACGGCUCCAGAAGAGACACGUGAAAUACAAGGUGGAUCUUCAUAGACUCCAAUAGAUAUAAUCGAUAGGCAACAAGAUUGAUUUAUUCACAAAUAGGAAAAGGUCCUAGCCUACGAUAAUCUAAUUUAUCACAAGGACGAGUAGUCUUGAUAUUACGAUGAAGUAAGCAUACCUUGUCACCUAUAUUAUAUUGUAGUUACUCCUUGCAAUAAGCAUCUACGUUGAUCUUUUGUCAUUCUUAAGCUUCCUGUAAUUGUAUCUUCAUUGUUGUAUGUAGCUCUGACAAGCGAUUUGCUAAAUCUUCUGUCGUAAGAUUAUUAACUUUUAAAAAGUCAAAAGUAUCAAGACAUGGAUGAUAACCAUACUUGGCAAAGAAAGGUGUUUAUUGAGUGGAAGAAUGUACCAAAUUAUUAUAUGCAAACUUUGCCAAUGGUUAAAGAAUUGUCCAAUCAUCUUGAUAAUAGUUGAUGGUACAUUUCAAAUAUUGCUCUAGAACUUGAUUUAUCUAUUCCGUUUAUCCAUCAGUUUCAGGAUGAAAAGUUAAAAAAAGUUUUAUAUCCACCUUUAGAAUCUUGAAUAGGAUUCUCUAAAAUCUUGAUACCAAUUGAGUCCCCCUAUCCAAUAUAAUAUCCUUUGGUAAUCCAUGAUAGCAAUAGAUAUUGUGAAUGAAAAGCUUAGCUAUUUCUUUACAUGUGAUAGAUUUUGUACAUAGUAUAAAAUAUUCCAUUUUGGUAAAACGAUCUACUAUCAUGAAUAUAGAGUCAUAAGAACCUGAGAUUGGAAGACGUGUGAUGAAAUCCAUAGAAACAAAAGACCAUAGUUGUUCUGAAAUGGAUAAUGGCUAAAGAAGUCCAUAAGGUUGAUGACGAGGAGUUUUUGAUCUUGAGUAAACAUCGUAAGAUUGUACAAAAUCUUUGACUGCCUUUCUCAUUUGCGGCCACCAAAAAUCCUUGGAUAUUAGUUCCAAAGUUUUAUUGUACUCAAAAUGUCAUGUUGUUGAAAAGUCAUGAAGAGCUUGAAGAACACAUAAUCGAGCUUCAUCUUUUGGAACAUAUAGGCAUCCUUCAAAAUAUAAUAGAUUAUUCUUGAAUUCAAACUUGAAAGUAUCAUGUGACUUAGAGGAAGUAUCCUUGAUAUCCUAAACAAGAGGAUCAAAGGAUAUGCUUGAUUGAAUUUACUUCACAAAUAUUGAAUCAACAGUCAAUGUUGAAUCAAUAGUCAAUGUUGAUUUUAUAGCUCAAAGAUGAAAAUACUUAGGCUUCAAGAAAAUUGAUCUUUGUUAAUCAAAAGAUGCAUCUUCUUCUUUUGAUACAAGAUAAGAACGUCUAGAAAGAGGGUCUGAUAGACCUUGUUGUUUUUUGGGUCAAUAAGUGAUCUUGAAAUUGAAUUUAGAUAAAGACAUGCUCCAACGGGCUUGACAACAAUUCAAGACACGUAUUGACAUGAAAUACUCGAGGUUCUUAUGAUUUUUAUAUAUGGUAACUGAACUUGAGGUGCCUUCUAGAUAAUGACGCUAUUCUUGAAAUGAAUCUACAAUUACAAGGAGUUCUUUGUAAUAGAUUUCAUAAUUAAUCUUGGCUGCUAAAAAUUUCCUUGAAUGAAAAGCUAUUGGGUGGAGUUUGUCAUCUGUUCCCAUUUGUGAUAACACGGCACCUACAGCAAAAUCUGAUGUGUCUGUUUCUAUAAAAAAUGUCAUGGAGAAGUCAACGCAAUAUAAGAUUGGUACAAAAAUAAAUUCCUUUAAAGCAUCAAAUGAUGCUUCUGUUUCUUUAUUCUAUUCAAGUUUGUCUUUACAAGUCAAACGUAUAAGUGGAGCUGCAACUUGAGAAAAAUUCUUGAUGAAGAUUUGAUAGUAUUUAACAAAGCCUAAAAAGUAUUGCACAUCUCGUACUGAUCUUGGAAUCUUCUAAUCCAUGAUAGUUUGAACCUUCUUAGGAUCCAUCAUAAGACCUUCGUUGGAAAUGAUGUAUCCUAAAAAUUCAACUUUAGUAGUGUGGAAUAUACACUUUUUCAACUUGGCAUAUGAUCCUGCAUCUCUAAGUUUCUGUAACACACAACAAAUAUAAAGCUCAUAUUCUUAUGUGUUCUUAGAGUAGAUUAGAAUGUCAUCUAAAUAGCAAACAAUGAAAUCAUCUAAAAACUCACAAAAAAUAUCAUUCAUAAGAUAUUGAAAAGUGGCCAGUGCAUUUGUGAGUCCAAAAGGCAUGACAUUAUAUUCAAAAUAUCCAUACUUAGUUCAAAAAGAAGUCUUCCAUUCAUCUCCUUUUUUGAUACGAACUAAGUUGUAUACUCUUCGUAGAUCUAUUUUGGUAUAAAUCUUUGCUUGAUCGAGUUAGUUAAGAAGUCCUGAAAUCAAAGGCAAAGGAUACCUAUUUUUGAUGGAGAUCUUAUUGAGUCCUCGAUAAUCCAUAUAUUCAUAGAGAUUCAUCUUUCUUCUUCACAAAUAAGAUAGGAGCCCCGACUGGAGAUUUAGAAUGGCAUAUGAAGUUCUUUGCCAAAUUCUCAUCAAUGUACUCCUUUAAUAUAGGUAAUUCAUUCUGCGAUAAGCUACAGAUUAGUCCGAAUGGUGAUUGAGUUGCUUCUUGCAGAUCAAUUGAACAAUCAUAAGGUCAAUGCUUGGGGAGAAUAUCUAUAUUUUUCUUUUUAAAAACGUCUUGGUAUUCUUGAUAUUGAUUAGGAAUACCACUUGACGUUGUUUCACCAUUAGAAAUGGGUGUAGCAUAUAUAGCAAAAGAUGAUCCUUCUUUUGUAGCAUGCAUGAAAACUUUUGCACCUACUAAUAAAUGUUUGGACAUAUUAGACUUAUGUACUUCUACUUUAUUAAUGCGAUCUUUGAUUAUACUAUCAAGAAAGUUAAGGUUAUGAGAAAUCCAAUCUAUUUGAAAAUUAUAUUUUUCUACCAUUGAUAAUCCUAAAAUAACCAGAUUAAAGGGAGAUUUUAUUACAUUAGAUAGUACUAUACUGUUAUGAUCUUUAAUUGCUAUAUCUAAAGGAAUAGUUUCAUGGAUAACAUUUCCAGAAGACAACAAACGACCAUCUAUGACUUCUAUAUAUACACAUUUAACUUUCUUCACUAAAGGUAUUUUUUGAUUUUUGGCAAAAUCUUCAUCUAUAAAACAUGUUGAGGCUCUUGAAUCUAACAAGGUAAAGACUUUGUAAUUAUUAGGUCCUAAAUAUACUUCUAUUAUAAAAUAAGGUGAGGGGUCUGAGGAGAGGAUAUGAUCUUUAUUAGGUGUUGCAAAUGAUUCCAGUCGCACAAUCCUUAUUGUAGCUGGAAAAAUUCGUUUUCCGACACAUUUUCUUUGGUAAUUGUGCUCCUCAUUUUGUAAUUGCAUUACUUCUUUAGACAAUGUUGAGUAGUGUAUUUAGCUUCUCCACAAUAUAAAUACAACUCCUCUUGGCAACAUCAAGUCUUUUCUUGCUUUAUGAGAGGUUUAAAAUGUAUCAUAUCAAUUUGCACUGGUUCCAACUUUGACAAAUAUGUUUCAGAAAACUUGAGAGAUGUUGCCAUUACUUGACCUGUUCCUCUUCAACCAAAUCUUUAUUCUUGAUGUCUUUCAAAUAAAUGAUUGUCGCAUGCAAUGGCUUGAGUAAUAAAUUGUUUCAUAGAUUCUACUUUUGGCAUUGCUAAUAACAAAUCUUUGACGCUAUCCUUCAACCCAUAUCAAAAUUGGUUGAUAAGUGCUUUGUUGUUCGAGUCCAUGUUGCAAGCGAGAUUUUAGAAUUUGACAGUAUAUAUAGUGGUUGAUCGUGAUGCUUGUCGUAAAGAUAAAAACUUGGUCUGUAUUGCUCGUUCUCAAUCACUUUCUUCAAAUAUCGUUGUAAACACUUCUAGGAAUGAAUUCAAAUUAUAAAGGAGUCGUGAAUCUUUUUCCAUUAAAGGUGUAAAUCAAGAGAAAGCACUUCGUGAUAGUAGUGCGUCUAUGAAUCCAACUUGGAUAAAUCCAUCAAGAUAUUGGAAAGGAUGCAACUUUAGAUAGAGCUUGACUUGUUGCAAAAAUCUUCAAAAUUUUGACCUUGUUCCAUCAAACUUCUCAAGCAUACUAAUCUUUGUCCUUGUCAUACUUGUAGAAGCAAAACUCCAUGAAUUUGGUUGUGACGUUGAUCUAUUUGCUUCUUUUAACUACACAACUUCUUGUCGUAGACUCUGAACUUCUUCUAUAGGCGUAGGCAUAGUACUUCCAUGCUUCACAUUGGAAAUACGUGAGAUUUCCACUCUUAGAGUGUUGACAAGCUCAUGAAGAUUUGUCAUAGUUACAAAUCUAUUCUCACUUCCGUUGAGAGUAGUAUCCAUAAACUUUCCUUCUAUAGACAACUCAAAUGAAUUCAAAAGUUAAAUUAGAAGAGGAUAAUCCGGAACCUCUAAAAACAAAUACCUCAAAGAGAGGUAAUCUGCUCUCUUUAAGGAAAGGAUUAGUGUUAGAAAAUAAGAUUUUUUGUUUAAAGGUAGGUAGUCCACAACCUUCAAAAUAUAAUAAUAGAAGUGGAAUAAUCCACUCACUUCUAAAAAAAGAUAAAAAUAAUAUGUUAGCACUCUUGUCAAACUGUGAAGGACAUGAAUCUCAAAGAAAGAGAAUCCUCAAUACACUCUUCUAUCACUGAAGAGAACUAGAAAGUCCCUCAAAAGAUGAUGUAAUAUUAACUAGAAUGGCUAUUGCCAAAAACAAGAAGACUAGAAAGUCUUGAAAUAAGACUAAGACUAGAAAGGCAUUGACUAGAGUGAAGAAGGCUUCACUCUUGCCUUCAUAUAUACUAUCUAACUAAGAGCUAUGUGGCGAUGUCUUAUAGGACCUCCAACAUGUAUUGACUUUGCUAGCCAUAUGUUUUAUCUUCUAAGGCAAGUUAUUUGUGUAUGCACCGUAUAGUUGGCUUGUUCCACAAGCUACUACACUGAGAUAACUUGUUCCACAAGCUACCAAUACAUGGUUAGCUUUUUGGCCAAGUUUCUGACCUACAAACACAUCUAAAGUCAAAACCACAUCUAUGAAGCUUUUAAGAAGCUUUUCUAGAAGACUUUAUGAAAUUAUUCUAUAUUUACCUACUUCUACUUAAUCAUAUAAGUAACUAUUGAGAUAAAUGUAUAUGUUUGUGACACAAAUGGUAAUUGUAAGAAAUUUGUAUCAAUUAGAAGCAAUGGCCAUUUCAAUAAAUAAAUUUUGAAAGGGCCUAACAUUGCUUGAGGUUCAAACUUUGUUUUUUAAAUUGAUUUUUGGACUUGUACAAUUUUCUUUGCAUCCUCAAUUGAAACAAAAUCUCAUUAUGAUCUUGCUUUUUAUUGUUAAGUGCCAUUUUCGAAAUAAUAUCACACUUGAAGAUUGGAUGAGUUUUGUAAAAGUUAUAUAUGGAUGAAGUUUUUAAAUUCAUCCAUAAUGAUUUAAAAAAUUAUACUUAACAACUACAAGCUCAAGGGAUAUGUGACACAAAAUGAAAAUGUAUUAUAAUACGUAAAUUACAUAAAUGAGGAAAGUAAAAGUAUUCUUCUUCAUGAAUAUAUUGCAAGUACGCCCCAAAUCACAUAGUGCUUCACUCCCUUACACAUGGAAGUGCAAAAUUUGAAAUUGGGUGGACUUUGAUUUGAGGGGAUCACUGGAUGUGGGUAAUGUCCAAGAAUAACAUUGUCCUCCUAUUGAGCAUGGUAUGGUAGGAGGCCCUUACAGGAGUGGAUAGGGGAAUCAGUCUGGGAAGAUUUCCUGUGCCCCAUUGGAUCAGGGGACGACUGAUCACGCACACUCUGUGCAGAGUAGCAGCCGAGGCGAUUAUCACCUGCCGUGUAGCACAUUAGUAUAGAAUCAGAAGUCCUGUAACUCUACAGUAAUGUGCGUAGGGUAGGGCUGUAACUUUGGGGGUCGGUGGCGGGGCACGCGCUGUUGUGCGGUGGACAGGUACUGUGUUACCUUCCCCCCACUUCCCCACCGCUGCUCCCCCCCAAUCCCAUGAUUCAUCUUGCGGAUGGCGGACAAGCUCUGGAGGUUGUCUAGUGGACUAGCGUUGCCUGGUAGAUGGCAUGUCAUCCAUACCCCAUCAGCAGUGGAGACGCGUUGUGCGCCGCACUAGAUACAACAUAAUAAAAUGCGGUACUUACUACCAGGUGUGGGAAGCAAAGGGGACUGUGUCCAUAGUCCGUCACCGUUGCAAAGCUCUGUUGGUCGGUGUAUCUGGUGAUGGAGCAAUUAUAAACACGGCGAUGCACAUGACCAGACGCCAGUCAACCGUCUUUGUCAUUACGGUCAACCGAUCGCUGUGCGAUGCCUGCAACGUCCUUUACAGAGGACGAGCAAGACCUGUCCUUGAGAGUGCUACCGUGACACAUGUCAUGUUACUAUCGUCCAUUCGGAGCACCCAGUAUCAUCUAAUUAGCGGUCGGAGGUGUGCCUUGUUUCUCAAGCGCCAACACUCGACAAGUACAGAGUUCGCGGAGAUCAUAGUUAGCUUCGGUUGUUUUCGUGCUUUGUCUUUCGAACUGGUGCGAAGUGUGACUCUAGAGUUGGUUGGAGGGUGGUGGGUCAACUGCCUAUAUAUCUAAAAUCGACUAGUACGACUUGCCGGCACUCGCUUGAAUGGAAAGCUUGGCCGGCACCGAUACCAGUACGUGCGGAUAUAUUUUGAGCGUAUCGUAAUGAUUUUGAGCUACAAGGAAUCAGCAGCACCACAUUUAAGAAUGGGUGAGAAUCUAUCUGGGGGCACGAGAUAGAGUAAAGCAGCGAAUUGGAGGACGAUUGCCUCUAAUUCCACGUAUUGGCGCGGUAGUUUUGUUCUUUCCAGGUUGUCGUGUGAACUAAACCUUGUCUCAUGGCUAGUGCAAAUCAACUGGGUUAUAAAAUGGCAGCAAUCCACCUAGAUCACAGUACCCAGUAACCAGUGAGCAAAGGAGGCAGAAGUGGAACUCGAACAGGCAUAAUUAUAUGCACAGAACAAGCUGAUAGAGAAGAAGGGUACGGCAAGCGAAUUAAUUACAUCACGAUAGACAACGGCAGCUAGGAUGGUGGACUCGCAGGGAGAGGAGCAGCGAAUGGCGCGGGCAAUGCAGGAGAUAGAGAAGCUGGUGCAGGAAAAUGCUGUGGUUGUGUUCAGCCAGAGCGGGUGCUGCAUGUGUCAUGUGGUAAAGCGUCUCUUCUGCAGUCUGGGAGUGGGGCCAACUGUGCACGAACUCGAUGAACGGAAGGAAGGUGGCGACAUGGAGAAGGCAUUGCUGCGCCUCAACAACAAAGUUGCGCUUCCUACCGUGUUUGUGGGCGGCAAACUGGUGGGGGGCGUCGAUGCUGUCAUGGCUGCCCACGUGAGUGGGAACCUUGUCCCCCGCUUGAAGGAAGCCGGAGCUCUUUGGCUGUAGUCUCUCCCAUUUUUUCGCUCUUUUGAACUGCUGGCAUAGUGUGGACUUGAGGUAACCGUCCCUGUUGAGCUCUGGCUUCCUUGUAGUGAACUCCGACACAUAGUCGACGGUGGGUAGUUGCGUCUGAAUACCAUGAAGAUUUCUCAAGUCGAAUUGCACGCAUGGCAUGCGGUACUGUCGACGAACUCUGGAACAUCUGCUCACAACUUUUUAGACGAUUAUUGGAAAGGAAAGUCCCUUCCAGUCUUCAGUGAUUGUCGGCUACUUAUUUAUAACUUGUACUACGUAUGCUCAUCGGUAGUUGGCUAUGUUCGAAACGUUUUCCUCGUCCUCCACUGCAGGUACGGACCUCCAGAAAGACAGAGAUAUAUAGAUAGAUAGAAUAGCCUGUAUACUCGUGUGCCGUAUAUUAAUGUAUACGCUGCAGUUUGUAGUACGGUCAUCGUCCGUGAUCGAUUGAGCGAGGAGAUCAUGUGCGAAAAUAUAGAUGAGACGUGUUGGGAGUAAAAUUUGUUACGCGUGACUUCUCUAGAUUUCGUUCUCAACAUGCCCUUCUCAUGUUUUGUAAAGAGAUUGAAUAGAUAUUUGGAUCAGUAAGCACUGUAACUAAUUUUAAGUAUAAGAUCAUGAUCAAGAAUGAGAAUAAUGUGGAGCAAGUGUAGGGACGUAUUGUCUGCCGUCAACUUCUGAGUCGUAACAUUAGCAAUGAGCAACUCUGUUACAAUCGUGCAGCAGUGCCAACUUCCAAGUGUACUUUGUAAGUCAAACGGGGGAUUCAACUGAAUGAUGGAUGAUUGUUAAUAGAAACAGUGCAGUACAUCUUGGGGAGUGAGUGAUUCUGAAAACCACGAGUAUUUAGAAUAGUUGAAGUAUGAAAGAAAGACGAAGUAUGAAAGUCUGUAUUUCAGAGAGGAUGUUUGAAAAUGGUUGGUGAGAUUGCUUCUCCGCAGACGGGGGAGUUUCUGGCGCAGUGUUACCAUGAGAACCGACUACCGUGGACGGCAUUAUUUUAAAUACACAAGUUCAUGUGAAUUCGUGUCACAACCAUCUACUUCAGAAUAAGUUCGCAUCUUAAUCGAUGUUGUCAAGUAGUACCCUUCUCAUUCAUACAAAUUGGUUGCAAAAGCGGAAUAAACUCGAAUCUCAUCCCAGCAAUCUUCCCCAACUGAUCCGCAAUCUCAAAUUACAAGUUUCUUCGGGUCACCAGAAUAAUCCUACGUGAAGAAGUUUUCUUUUUAUCUCAAUCGUGAGGAACAAAACAUGAUCACUAAAUCUGAAGUUUGCUCCAAACUCAAACUGUCUCAACUCUUCUAAAUUCAAUGGAUAAUCAUGUUUUUGCACAUGAAAUUGCUACAGUAACCUGUCUUUAACCCUGAUGGAAGUAUAUUGUAGGAGAGUUACUGUAUCAUAAGAUCACCACCAUAUUUCUGGUGCACUAUAUUUGAGUCGAUUAUUUUGACAACUGAUCAGGAAAUAAACCCGUAUUCCUCAUGUGUGCUUCGAGCUCUCCUUCGAACCGUACGUGGUCUAUUAAAAUUAGGAUGAAACGAGUCCUUCACAACCCUAAAUCUAUCUGAAAAUUCCUAGUCUCUCGA